RNAcentral lists this ribosomal RNA (417 nucleotides) under uncultured bacterium. Its description in RNAcentral is "bacterial SSU rRNA". It matches the Rfam family "Bacterial small subunit ribosomal RNA", at positions 355 to 786 of the family's 1533-position model. The record is from RNAcentral.
UGGGGAAUAUUGGGCAAUGGGCGAAAGCCUUACCCAGCAACGCCGCGUGAGGGAAGAAGGUUUUCGGAUUGUAAACCUCUGUCCUGGGGGACGAAGGAAGUGACGGUACCCCGGGAGGAAGCCCCGGCUAACUACGUGCCAGCAGCCGCGGUAAUACGUAGGGGGCGAGCGUUGUCCGGAAUUAUUGGGCGUAAAGGGCGCGUAGACGGCCGAGUAAGUUAUAGGUGAAAGCCCAUCUUUCAAGGAUGGAAUUGCCUGUAAUACUGCUUGGCUUGAGUGCAGGAGAGGGAAGCGGAAUUCCUAGUGUAGCGGUGAAAUGCGUAGAUAUUGGGAGGAACACCAGUGGCGAAGGCGGCUUACUGGACGGUAACUGACGUUGAGGCUCGAAAGCGUGGGGAGCAAACAGGAUUAGAUACC